GGCCCCGUAGCUCAGUGGAUAGAGCGACCGCCUCCUAAGCGGUAGGUCACAGGUUCAAAUCCUGUCGGGGUCA
Molecule: transfer RNA, 73 nt
Filed under: Pseudoruegeria sp. SK021
Lineage: Bacteria; Pseudomonadati; Pseudomonadota; Alphaproteobacteria; Rhodobacterales; Roseobacteraceae
Rfam family: tRNA
About the family: Transfer RNA (tRNA) molecules are approximately 80 nucleotides in length. Their secondary structure includes four short double-helical elements and three loops (D, anti-codon, and T loops). Further hydrogen bonds mediate the characteristic L-shaped molecular structure. tRNAs have two regions of fundamental functional importance: the anti-codon, which is responsible for specific mRNA codon recognition, and the 3' end, to which the tRNAs corresponding amino acid is attached (by aminoacyl-tRNA synthetases). tRNAs cope with the degeneracy of the genetic code in two manners: having more than one tRNA (with a specific anti-codon) for a particular amino acid; and 'wobble' base-pairing, i.e. permitting non-standard base-pairing at the 3rd anti-codon position.
Source: Rfam by way of RNAcentral